CUUGAGAAUCAGCUGAAUUUUCCAGAAAAAUUCCUCCACCAUCUUUGACAAUUCCUCUCAACAACAAGGUAUUUUCUGGUGUAAAAAAUGGUAAGCGACAGAAAUAAAUAGAAACAGGCCUAGACAUACUAUGCUAUCCCCUAAGGCUGCAAUUGGAGCUAUGAAGUCAACAUACCAGGAUCUAUCAGGCACAUCAUCUACUACUGAGGGAGGAUGAAAGGAUGGAUUAAUCAUGUAUUCACCUGCUUUUGUGGACCAGAGCUCCAGCAAUGAUUGUGAUAACAGCUACCAUCCAUUUUCCUGUCUUACUGAGCUCCACAACAGGAAAAAAUCUCUUCUUUCAGCAAAUCUUUCCUAAGGCUUCCGAAGAACCAGUAGUCAUACAUUUGUAUGAGAGGGAGAAACCAGGAUUCCAGGU
Branchiostoma belcheri (Belcher's lancelet) is the source of this 418-nucleotide long non-coding RNA. RefSeq lists it as uncharacterized. The record is from RefSeq and is a predicted model, not a curated record. The transcript is spliced from 4 exons. Lineage: Eukaryota; Metazoa; Chordata; Leptocardii; Amphioxiformes; Branchiostomatidae.